This 219-nucleotide long non-coding RNA is filed under the name Cricetulus griseus (Chinese hamster). Its description in RNAcentral is "lncRNA (ENSCGRG00000025871.1)". Lineage: Eukaryota; Metazoa; Chordata; Mammalia; Rodentia; Cricetidae. The record is from RNAcentral.
CCAUCUCUUUUCCUCUUUUUCUUCAAAAACAUAACAUGGAUGAAAUGGAAAAAUCUCACACAGAUCUUCGUUACCCAGUACCUUUAACUCAGGAACUUGAGGACCGAAAGAGACAGUUUGAGAAGUGUGGCUUGUGGGUUGUGAAGGUGGAGCAGAUACAGAAUAAUGCACUCAUGGCUGCCUUCCUAGAGAAGAAGAAAAUGAUGGAAGGGAGAACGU